GGGCUGGGUCCUUAGGGUCUCACAGGGUCAAAAUGGAGGCAGAUGCUGGAUGGCGCGCUUAUCUGGACGUCCUUGAGAAGAAGAAUCAGCUUUCGACCUCCUUCAGGCUGUUGACAGAAUUCAGAUCCUGUGGCUGGUGAGGACGGAGGACCCCUUCCUUGCUGGCUGUCAGGGGAAGACAUGCUGACCCUUCUGGUGGCACCUUUCAGGGUGCAGAGGAUUGCUGUGGUGCUAGCUUUGAUGGAUUGUUUGCAAAAGUGGCUGCAAUUAUUCAGCUCCCUCUGCAGUGGUGGAGUCUGUGUCCACUCCGCUUGACUCUCAGCUGAUCCUGUGGCCUGCUUAGACCAAGAGACUGCAAAAGAAGUGACUGUCUGUGCUGAGCCCUCAUCUCUAGAGACAAUGCACGCUUCCACCUGCCCCUUUCAAACUCUGCUGAGCUGCCUUGUGAACAAACAGCCCAGGCUCCUCAUCCAGCCCAAUCCAGAGGCAGAGCAGAUGGCAGUUGCUUGAGGGAAGGCAUCUGAGGUCAGCAGAACUAGAGAUUCACCAGAAGGAACUUAUGGCUGUUAUUUUAAGACACUAAGUUUUGGGUUGCUUUGCUAAUAUGCUCAUAGUUCCAUUUCUCUUCGGAGACAGGUCAAACGGAUAAGUCCCACCCUGUUCUUGGGAGCAACAUUAAACAGUAGUCUGGGACAAAGGUUUCUCACAGAAACUUCACGAGCAUGAUAGACUCCAUAUGUUUCAAUAACAGGCAAAGUAUCUUUCUGUGAAAGUCACA
This 778-nucleotide long non-coding RNA is filed under the name Homo sapiens (human). RNAcentral describes it as "HSALNT0337125". Lineage: Eukaryota; Metazoa; Chordata; Mammalia; Primates; Hominidae. The record is from RNAcentral.